Molecule: ribosomal RNA, 497 nt
Filed under: uncultured bacterium
Lineage: Bacteria
Description: partial 16S ribosomal RNA
Rfam family: Bacterial small subunit ribosomal RNA
Source: RNAcentral
GAUGAACGCUGGCGGCGUGCCUAAUACAUGCAGGUCGAGCGAACAGACGAGGAGCUUGCUCCUCUGACGUUAGCGGCGGACGGGUGAGUAACACGUGGAUAACCUACCUAUAAGACUGGGAUAACUUCGGGAAACCGGAGCUAAUACCGGAUAAUAUAUUGAACCGCAUGGUUCAAUAGUGAAAGACGGUUUUGCUGUCACUUAUAGAUGGAUCCGCGCCGCAUUAGCUAGUUGGUAAGGUAACGGCUUACCAAGGCGACGAUGCGUAGCUGACCUGAGAGGGUGAUCGGCCACACUGGAACUGAGACACGGUCCAGACUCCUACGGGAGGCAGCAGUAGGGAAUCUUCCGCAAUGGGCGAAAGCCUGACGGAGCAACGCCGCGUGAGUGAUGAAGGUCUUCGGAUCGUAAAACUCUGUUAUUAGGGAAGAACAAAUGUGUAAGUAACUAUGCACGUCUUGACGGUACCUAAUCAGAAAGCCACGGCUAACUACGUG